AAGUUAGUAACCGGUUACAGUGUGUGUAACAGUUACUAUAGGUAACAAAAUAACGUUACUGCACUCGGGUUGUUUUCAGGAAGAAACAUUGUUUCAGGAAGAGGCAUUGUUUUAGGAAGAAACGCUGUUUUAAGGAUAAACACUGUUUUAGGAAGAAACAGUCGUUUCAGGAAGAAGCGUUGUUUUCAGGAAGAAGAACGGUUUUCAGGAAGAAACAUGGUUUCAGGAUGAAAUCAGGGACACCUCCAGGAAGGAGACCGAGAGCCGAUUAGGAAUAUCGGUGGGGCAGGAGCCUAAAGGGAUUGAAUCACGGAAGAUACAGGAUGGACACGUCAGGAAGAAAGUGGGACGCCAGCAAGGAUUGUGGGUUAGGACGACCAAAAAGGAAAAGUUUUCACGGAUGAGCAGGGAUGCAAAUGUGUAGCGGGAUAGCUAUAAAACGAACCGGGGGUACUGAGCAAUCAGUACCCCCAAUUUUU
This 479-nucleotide small RNA is filed under the name Pectobacterium versatile. Lineage: Bacteria; Pseudomonadati; Pseudomonadota; Gammaproteobacteria; Enterobacterales; Pectobacteriaceae. The record is from RNAcentral.